This 26-nucleotide non-coding RNA is filed under the name Homo sapiens (human). The record is from RNAcentral. Lineage: Eukaryota; Metazoa; Chordata; Mammalia; Primates; Hominidae.
UGAAUGGUGUGAUGUUUCCUGGAAAU